This 394-nucleotide ribosomal RNA is filed under the name uncultured Rozellomycota. RNAcentral describes it as "uncultured Cryptomycota partial small subunit ribosomal RNA". It matches the Rfam family "Eukaryotic small subunit ribosomal RNA", at positions 30 to 432 of the family's 1831-position model. The record is from RNAcentral. Lineage: Eukaryota; Fungi; Rozellomycota.
GCUUGUCUCAAAGAUUAAGCCAUGCAUGUCUAAGUAUAAGCAAACUUGUACUGUGAAACUGCGAAUGGCUCAUUAUAUCAGUUAUAGUCUACUCGAUAGUACCUUACUACUUGGAUAACCGUAGUAAUUCUAGAGCUAAUACAUGCAAAGAACCCGACUUACGGAGGGUUGUAUUUAUUAGAUAAAAACCAAUGCCUCGUGCUUUUGGUGAGUCAUGAUAACUGCGCGGAUCGCAUGGCCUUGCGCCGGCGACGCUUCAUUCAAAUUUCUGCCCUAUCAACUUUCGAUGGUAAGAUAGAGGCUUACCAUGGUGUUAACGGGUAACGGGGAAUUGGGGUUCGAUUCCGGAGAGGGAGCCUGAGAAAUGGCUACCACUUCCAAGGAAGGCAGCAGG